RNAcentral lists this ribosomal RNA (498 nucleotides) under uncultured bacterium. RNAcentral describes it as "partial 16S ribosomal RNA". It matches the Rfam family "Bacterial small subunit ribosomal RNA", at positions 28 to 507 of the family's 1533-position model. The record is from RNAcentral.
GACGAACGCUGGCGGCGUGCCUAAUACAUGCAAGUCGAACGAGAGCAACCGGUGCUUGCACUGGUCAAUCUAGUGGCGAACGGGUGAGUAACACGUGGGUAACCUGCCCAUCAGAGGGGGAUAACAUCCGGAAACGGAUGCUAAAACCGCAUAGGUCUUCGAACCGCAUGGUUUGAAGAGGAAAAGAGGCGCAAGCUUCUGCUGAUGGAUGGACCCGCGGUGCAUUAGCUAGUUGGUGAGGUAACGGCUCACCAAGGCCGUGAUGCAUAGCCGACCUGAGAGGGUGAUCGGCCAAAUUGGGACUGAGACACGGCCCAAACUCCUACGGGAGGCAGCAGUAGGGAAUCUUCCGCAAUGGACGCAAGUCUGACGGAGCAACGCCGCGUGAGUGAAGAAGGUUUUCGGAUCGUAAAACUCUGUUGUUAGAGAAGAACAAGUGCUAGAGUAACUGUUAGCGCCUUGACGGUAUCUAACCAGAAAGCCACGGCUAACUACGUG